GGCGCUAUAGCCAAGUGGUUACGGCGACAGAUUCGAAUUACGCGAUAUCUGUUCCUCUUUGAGGGCGCAGGUUCAAAUCCUGCUGGCGUCG
RNAcentral lists this transfer RNA (91 nucleotides) under Pisolithus albus. RNAcentral describes it as "tRNA-Ser". It matches the Rfam family "tRNA". From Rfam's summary of the family: Transfer RNA (tRNA) molecules are approximately 80 nucleotides in length. Their secondary structure includes four short double-helical elements and three loops (D, anti-codon, and T loops). RNAcentral also lists the same sequence under 2 other names. The record is from RNAcentral. Lineage: Eukaryota; Fungi; Basidiomycota; Agaricomycetes; Boletales; Pisolithaceae.